RNAcentral lists this ribosomal RNA (1750 nucleotides) under Salmonella enterica subsp. enterica serovar Anatum. RNAcentral describes it as "partial 23S ribosomal RNA". It matches the Rfam family "Bacterial large subunit ribosomal RNA", at positions 1 to 2141 of the family's 2925-position model. Lineage: Bacteria; Pseudomonadati; Pseudomonadota; Gammaproteobacteria; Enterobacterales; Enterobacteriaceae. The record is from RNAcentral.
AAGCCAGUGGUGAACUCCACAUACGCAUCCUUUGCUGAGGAUACGGUUAACGGAGCGAAAGCGACGUUCAACCGCAAAACAAGCAGAGGGGGCUUAGUGGUGGGGUGACUGCGUACCUUUUGUAUAAUGGGUCAGCGACUUAUAUUCUGUAGCAAGGUUAACCGAAUAGGGGAGCCGGAGGGAAACCGAGUCUUAAUUGGGCGUUAAGUUGCAGGGUAUAGACCCGAAACCCGGUGAUCUAGCCAUGGGCAGGUUGAAGGUUGGGUAACACUAACUGGAGGACCGAACCGACUAAUGUUGAAAAAUUAGCGGAUGACCUGUGGCUGGGGGUGAAAGGCCAAUCAAACCGGGAGAUAGCUGGUUCUCCCCGAAAGCUAUUUAGGUAGCGCCUCGUGAAUUCAUCUCCGGGGGUAGAGCACUGUUUCGGCUAGGGGGCCAUCCCGGCUUACCAACCCGAUGCAAACUGCGAAUACCGGAGAAUGUUAUCACGGGAGACACACGGCGGGUGCUAACGUCCGUCGUGAAGAGGGAAACAACCCAGACCGCCAGCUAAGGUCCCAAAGUCAUGGUUAAGUGGGAAACGAUGUGGGAAGGCCCAGACAGCCAGGAUGUUGGCUUAGAAGCAGCCAUCAUUUAAAGAAAGCGUAAUAGCUCACUGGUCGAGUCGGCCUGCGCGGAAGAUGUAACGGGGCUAAACCAUGCACCGAAGCUGCGGCAGCGAACGUAUCACUUAAAGCGAUUCAGCGGGUUACGAUUGACGGAGCGAAGCGACGUCAAAGCGUAUACAAAGUCGAGUCGGUUUAAGGAUACGUUCGUUGGGUAGGGGAGCGUUCUGUAAGCCUGCGAAGGUGGCCUGUGAGGGUUGCUGGAGGUAUCAGAAGUGCGAAUGCUGACAUAAGUAACGAUAAAGCGGGUGAAAAGCCCGCUCGCCGGAAGACCAAGGGUUCCUGUCCAACGUUAAUCGGGGCAGGGUGAGUCGACCCCUAAGGCGAGGCCGAAAGGCGUAGUCGAUGGGAAACGGGUUAAUAUUCCCGUACUUGGUGUUACUGCGAAGGGGGGACGGAGAAGGCUAUGUUGGCCGGGCGACGGUUGUCCCGGUUUAAGCGUGUAGGUGUGUGUUCCAGGUAAAUCCGGUUCACUUUAACACUGAGGCGUGAUGACGAGGCACUACGGUGCUGAAGCAACAAAUGCCCUGCUUCCAGGAAAAGCCUCUAAGCAUCAGGUAACAUCAAAUCGUACCCCAAACCGACACAGGUGGUCAGGUAGAGAAUACCAAGGCGCUUGAGAGAACUCGGGUGAAGGAACUAGGCAAAAUGGUGCCGUAACUUCGGGAGAAGGCACGCUGACACGUAGGUGAAGUGAUUUACUCAUGGAGCUGAAGUCAGUCGAAGAUACCAGCUGGCUGCAACUGUUUAUUAAAAACACAGCACUGUGCAAACACGAAAGUGGACGUAUACGGUGUGACGCCUGCCCGGUGCCGGAAGGUUAAUUGAUGGGGUCAGCGCAAGCGAAGCUCCUGAUCGAAGCCCCGGUAAACGGCGGCCGUAACUAUAACGGUCCUAAGGUAGCGAAAUUCCUUGUCGGGUAAGUUCCGACCUGCACGAAUGGCGUAAUGAUGGCCAGGCUGUCUCCACCCGAGACUCAGUGAAAUUGAACUCGCUGUGAAGAUGCAGUGUACCCGCGGCAAGACGGAAAGACCCCGUGAACCUUUACUAUAGCUUGACACUGAACAUUGAGCCUUGAUGUGUAG